RNA transcript from Oryza sativa Japonica Group (Japanese rice), 1541 nucleotides. RefSeq lists it as uncharacterized. Lineage: Eukaryota; Viridiplantae; Streptophyta; Magnoliopsida; Poales; Poaceae. The record is from RefSeq and is a predicted model, not a curated record.
GUGCGACGCCCCCACGCGCAGACGCGCAGUUGCAACCGACGAUCCAUCCAUGCACCGCCGUUGCAAUUUGCGUUUCACCCUCCUCACCAAAAUCGAUUUGCUCCCCCCCUCCCCCUCAGAUCCCAAAUCACUAGUACUACUACCUCACUACCACCACUCCGGCGACUCCGCCGCCGCCAUGCACCCCUCCUCCUCCUCCUCCCACCCGCCCGAUCACCCCAACCCCAAGUCCCCGCCACCACCCGCGCCCGCCAUGGGCUACCCAGCCAACCACCCACCCCCACCCCCCUCCUCCAACGCCGCCUACUUCGCCUCCGCCGCCCCACCCCCCGCCGCCACCAACGGCACCGCCGCCUUCGCCGUCGCCUACCCUUACCCUGCGCCGCCGCCCCACUCCCACUCCCACCCGCCCCCUCCUCCUCCGCACGCCUACCACCACCACCACUACCCACCACCUCCUCCUCCUCACCACCACCCCUACCCGCCUCACCCGCCUCCGCCCACCUGCCUCCGCCGCCUCCUCGGCCUCGUCGUCGCCGCCUUCCUCCUCCUCGGCGCCGCCACCUUCAUCGUCUGGCUCCUCCUCCGCCCCCGCGUCCCGGCCUUCUCCCUCGCCUCCCUCACCCUCUCCCGCGUCGCCUACUCCGCCGCCAACUCCUCCCUCUCCGCCUCCUUCGACGCCUCCCUCCUCGCCGACAACCCAAACUCCAAGCUCACCGUCACCUACUUCUCCCCGCUCGCCUCCGUCUCCCUCGCCCCGUCCUCCCCCAUCGCCGUCGCCACGCUCCCGCCCUUCGCGCAGCCGCCGCGGAACACCACCACGCUCGCCUUCCGCCUCGAGGUGGAUGGCGCAUACGUGGGUCCCGACGACGCCGCGCCGCUCAAGGGCGGGGGUGUUGGUACCAUGGAGGUCCAGGUCAGGCUCGCCGCCGUCGCCGUCUUCGAUCGCGGUGGCUGGCGCACGCGCCGGAGGGUCAUGAGGGUCAUGUGCGACGGCGUGCCCGUCGCCUUCCGCGGGAAGAACGGGAUGGAGGCGGCGUUCACUGGCCCCGCUCGCCGGUGCGAUGUAGUGUUGUGAAGGAUCACUGCAUUGUGGUCAUUGACUACCUCAGAUGCUGAUCUAUGGGAGCAUCUUCCGAAGGUUCAUCAUUGCAGCUGCAGACAUUGAGGCAACUGCUUUGCUAGUGACCUGACCAUUGGUGUGGAUGGCCAUGGCUGCAAGUGCAAAGGAUAUGGCAAAUACGGCCAGAGGUGAGUUAACCAAACACCAAUUGGAUAACCACAGAUAAGUUGUAGUUGUAGUUGUAGUUGUUUGCCGCAGGCAGCACUCAAUCUUUGAUGGUAGGUAGGAGGUCUAUUGUGGAAGAAGACUGAAGAUGAUAUGUGUGAGAGUGGCCUUGAUGGAGGAAAAAUCCUGUUAGAAUCUGCCUACCCCUAUAUAUUUUCUAGCCUCCUCUUCUGUGAAGAUUUGGGCAUGUUGGAUUGUUAUGCCCGUAUAUUUUUUGUGUGUGUGAUGGAAUGAUCGGUUUUGGGCGUUGAAA